Molecule: ribosomal RNA, 279 nt
Filed under: uncultured bacterium
Lineage: Bacteria
Description: partial 16S ribosomal RNA
Rfam family: Bacterial small subunit ribosomal RNA
Source: RNAcentral
UGCCAGCAGCCGCGGUAAUACGGAGGUCCCAAGCGUUGUUCGGAUUCACUGGGCGUAAAGGGUGCGUAGGUGGCUGGGAAAGUUUGAUGUGAAAGCUCCGGGCUCAACCCGGAAAAUGCAUUGAAUACUGCUCAGCUAGAGGAUCGGAGGGGAAACUGGAAUUCUUGGUGUAGCAGUGAAAUGCAUAGAUAUCAAGAGGAACAUCAGUGGCGAAGGCGAGUUUCUGGACGAUUCCUGACACUGAGGCACGAAGGCUAGGGGAGCAAACAGGAUUAGAUA